GGACAAGUCCUGUACGACCAGCUCCCGCUGAAUCCCCCAGGGCCGGAAGGCAGCAAGGGUAGGUGGUUGUAGCGGUGCGCUGCAGGUCGCUUGUCCCA
This 98-nucleotide signal recognition particle RNA is filed under the name Flavobacteriales bacterium. Its description in RNAcentral is "signal recognition particle sRNA small type". It matches the Rfam family "Bacteroidales small SRP", at positions 8 to 103 of the family's 107-position model. From Rfam's summary of the family: The non-coding component of the signal recognition particle in Bacteroides Lineage: Bacteria; Pseudomonadati; Bacteroidota; Flavobacteriia; Flavobacteriales. The record is from RNAcentral.